RNAcentral lists this ribosomal RNA (430 nucleotides) under uncultured bacterium. RNAcentral's name for it is "bacterial SSU rRNA". It matches the Rfam family "Bacterial small subunit ribosomal RNA", at positions 79 to 544 of the family's 1533-position model. The record is from RNAcentral.
UUCGGGAUGCCGGCGAGUGGCGAACGGGUGAGUAACACGUGGAGACCUACCCUGGGGUGGGGGAUAACAGCUAGAAAUGGCUGCUAAUACCGCAUACGCCUUACGAGGGAAAGAUUUAUUGCCCCAGGAGGGUUCCGCGUCGGAUUAGCUUGUUGGUGGGGUAACGGCCUACCAAGGCGACGAUCCGUAGCUGGUCUUAGAGGAUGAUCAGCCACACUGGGACUGAGACACGGCCCAGACUCCUACGGGAGGCAGCAGUGGGGAAUAUUGCGCAAUGGAGGCAACUCUGACGCAGCGAUGCCGCGUGGGUGAAUAAGGCCUUAGGGUUGUAAAGCCCUUUCAGUGGGAACGAUGAUGACGGUACCCACAGAAGAAGCCCCGGCUAACUCCGUGCCAGCAGCCGCGGUAAUACGGAGGGGGCGAGCGUUGU